AUGACUGUGUUCAUCCGGCUCUCCCACCUGCUGCUAACCAUAGCUCCGUGGACUCACUACCUCAAGACACACCUGGACCACCUGAGAAUGUGGGAGGGCAUGGCAUCAGUCACCCCACUCAGCUUUUCCACCACACCUGUGCUGCUGUGUCUCAGUGACACUUUGCUCCCUCUGUUUGGUCCUGGUCAGUCUCUGCUGGACACCCAGAUGUCCUUGGCAUGUAUACCUCAAUGGAAUCCAGUUCAUCUCCAAUCUGUCAGAAGACAUCAUAGGUGGUUCGGCUCCUUAUGUCCAAAGUCUGCACAAAAAAUAUACCUUGUGUGGAGGAAAAUGAGAUCCCGAGUGAAGUCUACAAUGUCAUUGACUCUGAAGAAGGACUCAGAGACCUAUUGGUGUUUAAUGACCCUUACUGGCCUAUGCAAUGGGAACUGGUAUGAUCUUCCGAAAUAGAUCUUUGGCAAUGUUAAAGAAAUAUUAUUUUCGUCAUGUUUUAAUGCAGUAGACAGAUACUUUUAUGCACUGCCUGCUUUUAUCUAUUGAUUUUGUAGAGAAAGACUCAGCAAACUUUUUAGAAAUAUUACUGCCAGCUUAUUAAUGAGCACUAAUCCUUUUAAUUUGAUUGCAUCCUUAGGGUUUGAUUUAUGUCUAUAAAAUGUUCUACUUUAAAAAAAAACCCUAAGAUAUUUAAAUUUGGUUGUACAAGCAGACUCAUUACAUAGAAAUGUUAUGGCAGUUCAGGAUUGAAGUUUUUGUUCUAGCAUAACUCUGAAUAUAUUCCAUACUGCAUUGAUAGUAUAGAACUCACCUUUGUCUUUGUGUAUUAAGCAGAUGUUAGAACAUUGCAUGAGAAACUUUAUCCAUAAUGCUUAUUUAGUUGGACCUCUUAGAACAGCAUAACCUUGUCAUCUAUAUAAGACUGUGAUAUUGAAAAAGUCUAUAAAAUAUAGAUAUAAUUUUUAGUAUAGUAUGUCCUAAAAAGUUCUCAAGGAUACAAAUGUGUUUAAAGGAAAAUAUUUCGAAUGUAAAAAUCAGUUGGUGAUAAUUUUAGAAUUUGAAGACCUUGUUCUAUCCAUACUUAGUUUUUCAUAGGUCUGUAAUUAUUCUGUGUUGUAGCAGAUCCAAGGAUGUUAAAUGGAAAAAAAGGUCAAAUGUGUUUUAUCAUUUUAAUGGAUAUAAUGAGGUGAAAAGUGGGAAACUAUUGUGUUGGCUCAUUUGAAUGUUGGUCAUUGGCAGUUACUAAUCCUACUCUCUGAAAUGAAUUGAAAACCCAUACUGGAAAAUGUCCAGUUCAAUUUUCUGUAAUUUCAACUUUAAAAAAUGAAACAUGACUUACAAAACUGAACACUAUCUGUGACUAAAUUUGACAAUUCAAACAAACAAACAAAAACCUACUCAAUCAGCAAAACUUUGAAUAUUGCUUCAAUUACUUGGAGGUAAAAUAAUCAUUAAAAAGUGAGUGGAUUGGAGUCAAUUAGGAAUGUGAAAGUCAAAGAGAGAAAUAGCGAAAUUAAGAAGAUGGUGUGAAAGAAGGUAAUUAGAUAAGGAAAGAGGAGAUGAAAUAAGGGGGGGACUAUUUUCUUUUGUUUGUUGGGUUUUUGACCUGAAUGGCAAGAUGAAUAUUUGAAGACUGCAUGUAUCAAAAAUUGUAAUUAGUCACUUCAAGGGGAAUACUUCUUUAUAUUGACAAUAAAAUGUUAAGCCUCUGUACA
This 1709-nucleotide long non-coding RNA is filed under the name Oryctolagus cuniculus (rabbit). Its description in RNAcentral is "lncRNA (ENSOCUG00000035626.1)". Lineage: Eukaryota; Metazoa; Chordata; Mammalia; Lagomorpha; Leporidae. The record is from RNAcentral.